UCUUCAGUGCAUUGCCAGCAGUGGGAAAAAUUAAUGGCUUGGCUUAUGUUUCCAAUUUCCCUCUCCCACUUCCUCCUCUCGUUUGCCAGGCUUCAUCCUCCCUUCCCCCAGAAGCGAUGGCAGGCUGGCCAUCCACAUCUGCCCUUCUAGAGGCAGCGCAGACGAGGUUUGCAGGGGCUAACACAUGGAGGUAUACAAUUCUCAUAUAUGGAGAGAGAAACCAACUACGUAAGAACAAGUUAUUCCUAUUCAUAAAGGAGGAAACUGAGUUUUUGAAGAAAAAGUUGCACAGGAAAGGAUGAGAUACCAACUAACCCAUUCAGCUGCCUGCAGAAACAAAGUUCCCUCCUCUGCAAGCAAUAUUCAACUAGCUCAGGGGGCUAUUGUCUCUUGGAUGGAGCACCACGUCUGAUUUCCAUCUGUAUUAAAUACUCCUUAAGACUCUCUCCAGCCAUAGAGACGACCUUCACCGAACAGUGUGAAACUCAGAUGGAUUAAGGCCCAUUGCCAAUGCCAGAAUGAAGUAAAGGGAGAUCAUGGGAAGGAAGAGGACCAGCGGUGAUGCCUGUCCUGCACAGCUGCUUCUACAGCCCCUGGGACUGGCUCUAGUCGUAAGAAACAAAAGUAGUAACAGAAUCGGGCCCUUUAAAAAUGAAACAUUUCUAUGAACGUAAGGAUGUGGUUUUCCACCUCCUGAAUCUUUUUAGCUACUUUCUGUCAAGUAGCAGUGACCAGAUGACUGCAAAUAUGUGCAAUUCAUAGGGUCAGUCCCAACUGGUAGCCAACUGCUGCCAUUUUCAGGCAGUCUGAAAUCGCUUCUGGCUCUCUCCCACCCCCAAAUCAUUCAUUCUUCCCUAACGAAGCACACUGUGGACUUACCCGAAGUUCCUGAGGACACCCGUGACCUGCUAGAGUCAGACAGCUGUUCACAAAGACGUGCAUGGGAGAUGUGCUGAACCAAAGGAGCCGCUCCUUUGGGAUCACAGGGGCCAGGCCAAGCUGUCACCUGUGAGGAUUUAACCACUCUGGUUAGAAAUCCUGUCCUGUUAGAAAACCAGCGUCUGCACCUGUGAGAGGUUUGUUUACAGGCUUUUUUCCAAACCUAAACUAGCCCCCACCAUCUUUUUCUCUUCACCACCACUGAAACUUUUUCCAGACUCUACUGAGCCUUUAAGGAGCACAAUCACUACAGCAUGUCCUGCGGCAUUCAGUGACAAAUGUUUUCCUGAACAAAGAUGAGUAGAUUUAUAAAUUUAAAAACCGAGCAAGAAAAGUAACUUUUCAGAUCGUCUUUUGUGAUAUAAAAUCAAUUGUCAGGUUUUGUUUGCUUGUUUUUGUUUCUUAACUUAAGUUUUAAAUUGACUGCUACACUGGAAAUCCAUUUCUUCUUCUCCUUCCCAUUGAAAGAUGAACUCUUCAACUAUUAAAUUGUACCCAUAGCUGAUGGCUUGCUGUGCAGUCCAUUUUUAAAAGUGCAUGAAAGCGUACUGUAACCAGAAUACCCCAAAGCAAAGCUGCCAUGCAGAAAUCUGA
Anas platyrhynchos (mallard) is the source of this 1533-nucleotide non-coding RNA. Lineage: Eukaryota; Metazoa; Chordata; Aves; Anseriformes; Anatidae. The record is from RefSeq and is a predicted model, not a curated record.